Molecule: ribosomal RNA, 238 nt
Filed under: uncultured Lactobacillus sp.
Lineage: Bacteria; Bacillati; Bacillota; Bacilli; Lactobacillales; Lactobacillaceae
Description: partial 16S ribosomal RNA
Rfam family: Bacterial small subunit ribosomal RNA
Source: RNAcentral
CCGUGCCCAAGAGAUCGGGAUAACACCUGGAAACAGAUGCUAAUACCGGAUAACAACAGAUGAUGCCUAUCAACUGUUUAAAAGAUGGUUCUGCUAUCACUCUUGGAUGGACCUGCGGUGCAUUAGCUAGUUGGUAGGGUAACGGCCUACCAAGGCGAUGAUGCAUAGCCGAGUUGAGAGACUGAUCGGCCACAUUGGGACUGAGACACGGCCCAAACUCCUACGGGAGGCAGCAGAC